GGCUCUUUUCUUCCUCUCCCUUUUCCUCCAAGCCGCCGCCAGCGUCUUCUUCCUCCCGAAGCAAAGCCUUCCCCUUUGCUUUUCUUCUUGCUCCCAAUCUCCAUCGUCCUCCCGAUUCCUUCUCUCAUAGGCGCCAUCUCUUUUCCUCUCCCGGGGCUUCCUCCCUCCCUUGCAGGUCUCUCUCCCGCGCGCCCUCGUCCUCUCUCGUUUGCCGCGCGCCGCCUGCUGCCGCGAGCUGCUCCGCCCGCGACCACCUCGCCGCGAGCCUCACGAGCGCCUCCACUUCGCCUGGCUGCCCGCGCCGCUUUGCUCCUCCUUCCUCCAGCAGGCGCCGCCUCCUCGCUGUUGCUCUCUUCGUCAUCGACCUCGUCGCCGGCAACGCCCCCACCUGCAGCGCUCCCUACCAACCUUCUCUGCCUCCAGUGCCUGCUCGUCGCCAAGCUCUUUGCCGCCCUCUGCUUCCCCGCCGGUGCCGCCUCCCCUCGCUCCCCGCGCCGUCGACCUCGCCUCCUCCUGCUCCGCCUCCCCUUCCCCAAGCGCUGCCUCGCCUGCUGCCUCCUGGCCGCCUGCCAUCGCCCAAGCCCCUGCUGGCCAGCGCCUCUGCUGCUGUACUUGGCUUUGUGUUGUUGAUGUGGUGCUGUUGUCGCUGCUGUGCGUGUGCUUCGCUGCGCAGCUGCCCAAGUCCUUGCUGUGCGCCGCGACGACCGAUGACCGACGAACCCGGAGACGGAGCUGCGGACCACUACUUCGACUACGGCAACUACAUCGCCCACGUGUACGACUACUUCUUCUACUUCGUUGACAUCGCGACGCACGUGUCCAAGUCUUCAGUUCCUACGACGAUGACUACUUCGUGUUCUUCCAGGAUUCUUGCUCAAUUCCGGGCAAUUGAGUACUCCAGGCAAGCAGCCAUUCCUUGACCAUGUUGUUUAUACCCAAUGCCUCCCUUUCAUUCUUGCACUAAGUUACGUUCUCAGUCUUGUCACGAUGCCUUCAGGAUUGCAUAGCUUUUAGUCGGCUCUACUCAAUUGCCUUUUGUUCUAUUACUUGUCCGAUUACCAUGUCACAUGUUUGUUAUUGCGCUACUUGGUCAUUAGAAGUCUUGCUUA
Long non-coding RNA from Brachypodium distachyon (stiff brome), 1109 nucleotides. RefSeq lists it as uncharacterized. The record is from RefSeq and is a predicted model, not a curated record. NCBI's taxonomy places the organism in Eukaryota, Viridiplantae, Streptophyta, Magnoliopsida, Poales, Poaceae. The transcript is spliced from 2 exons.